AGACCGUGCAGACGCCGGGCGGACAGAGCUCAAGGCUCCUCCUCCCACCCUCCUCAUGCCAGUUGCAGAGGAGGGAUGCACUCGUUACCCAGUGGACUGGAGUCUGACAGAGGUAGCCAUCAAUAGGAACGACUCUUCUUUGUGCUUGGAGCCCUGAUCCCCAUCCAGCUGCAUCUCUGCCAGGCUGAGGAAGCCGCCCGGGCCGUCCGCAGUGUCGACACGGGGCUGUCACCACUCUUGACCCGUGGCUCUGCCAUCGGCUCAGCUCCCAUGCAGAAAGAGCACCUUCGUGGGGCGAGCGUUUGUGCACCUGUGACGGGGCCCUGGGGAAGUGGCCUGGGAAGGCGAAGAUCCCCUGUGACCGAGGGCAAGUUGCAGGGCCCAUGCAAACUUGGCGGAGCACCAGCUGUGCUCUGGGGGAGCCCCGAGCCUCGCCACGGUUUGUGGAAGGUCUCUGAGGUGUCUUCCUCCCUCGUGGCCAAGGGGAAGUCACGCGUGGAGCCAGUUAUCAAGAAAGGGCCAAAAAAGCGUCCUCUGCUGGAGAGCACUUACUGCCUCUGACGGAGUGAAGUAUCCGUCUUCCCCUGCCCGCUGUUGCUCCGGGAGGGCGCUGGUCCUCGGCUGCUUGGCUUCCUGACGGAUCCCAGCGCCUGAGACAGGGACCCGCACUUAAAGGGCGCCCGGGGGCUCCGUCGGUGAAGCGUCUGCCUUCGGCUCAGGUCGUGAU
Non-coding RNA from Leptonychotes weddellii (Weddell seal), 727 nucleotides. The record is from RefSeq and is a predicted model, not a curated record. NCBI's taxonomy places the organism in Eukaryota, Metazoa, Chordata, Mammalia, Carnivora, Phocidae.